UACGAGGGGGGCGAGCGUUGUUCGGAAUUAUUGGGCGUAAAGGGUGCGUAGGCGGUUGGGUAAGUCUGAUGUGAAAUCUAUGGGCUCAACUCAUAGUCUGCAUCGGAAACUGCCGGGCUUGAGUGUGGGAGAGGUGAGUGGAAUUCCUGGUGUAGCGGUGAAAUGCGUAGAUAUUAGGAAGAACACCAGUGGCGAAGGCGGCCAACUGGCCCGAUACUGACGCUCAUGUGCGAAAGCGUGGGGAGCAAACAGG
This 253-nucleotide ribosomal RNA is filed under the name uncultured bacterium. RNAcentral's name for it is "partial 16S ribosomal RNA". It matches the Rfam family "Bacterial small subunit ribosomal RNA", at positions 524 to 776 of the family's 1533-position model. The record is from RNAcentral.